This 484-nucleotide ribosomal RNA is filed under the name uncultured bacterium. RNAcentral describes it as "partial 16S ribosomal RNA". It matches the Rfam family "Bacterial small subunit ribosomal RNA", at positions 30 to 507 of the family's 1533-position model. The record is from RNAcentral.
AUUGAACGCUGGCGGCAGGCCUAACACAUGCAAGUCGAGCGGAUGAAGGGAGCUUGCUCCUGGAUUCAGCGGCGGACGGGUGAGUAAUGCCUAGGAAUCUGCCCGGUAGUGGGGGAUAACGUCCGGAAACGGGCGCUAUUACCGCAUACGUCCUGAGGGAGAAAGUGGGGGACCUUCGAACCUCACGCUAUCAGAUAAGCCUAGGUCGGAUUAGCUAGUUGGUGGGGUAAAGGCCUACCAAGGCGACGAUCCGUAACUGGUCUGAGAGGAUGAUCAGUCACACUGGAACUGAGACACGGUCCAGACUCCUACGGGAGGCAGCAGUGGGGAAUAUUGGACAAUGGGCGAAAGCCUGAUCCAGCCAUGCCGCGUGUGUGAAGAAGGUCUUCGGAUUGUAAAGCACUUUAAGUUGGGAGGAAGGGCAGUAAGUUAAUACCUUGCUGUUUUGACGUUACCAACAGAAUAAGCACCGGCUAACUUCGUG